This 218-nucleotide ribosomal RNA is filed under the name uncultured bacterium. RNAcentral describes it as "partial 16S ribosomal RNA". It matches the Rfam family "Bacterial small subunit ribosomal RNA", at positions 524 to 743 of the family's 1533-position model. The record is from RNAcentral.
UACGUAGGGACCAAGCGUUGUUCGGAUUUACUGGCGUAAGGGCGCGUAGGCGGCAAUUCAAGUCAGCUGUGAAAUCUCUGGGCUUAACCCAGAACGGCCAGCUGAUACUGCGUUUGCUAGAGUGCAGAAGGGCAAUCGGAAUUCUUGGUGUAGCGGUGAAAUGCGUAGAUAUCAAGAGGAACACCUGAGGUGAAGACGGGUUGCUGGGCUGACACUGA